RNAcentral lists this unclassified non-coding RNA (234 nucleotides) under Hevea brasiliensis (rubber tree). The record is from RNAcentral. Lineage: Eukaryota; Viridiplantae; Streptophyta; Magnoliopsida; Malpighiales; Euphorbiaceae.
AGAGCCCAAACACACUUAACAUGUGACUCUUAAUGUAAUUUGGCCCAACUGCACUUAUUUUUUAUAUAUGGACUCAAAAUAUGUCAAUUAAGGUCCAUAAGCCAUAAGGUCAAAUUCAAACUCUAAAUAGUAAAUCACAUAUAAGUUUCAUUAACAUUGUCCAAAGAAGCUGAACAUGAGUUGAUAUCCAAAUCCGUUCCUUUUUCACCCUUAGCCUCCAAAUACCAUGAAUAA